RNAcentral lists this ribosomal RNA (780 nucleotides) under uncultured Scutellospora. RNAcentral describes it as "SSU rRNA". It matches the Rfam family "Eukaryotic small subunit ribosomal RNA", at positions 335 to 1125 of the family's 1831-position model. Lineage: Eukaryota; Fungi; Glomeromycota; Glomeromycetes; Diversisporales; Gigasporaceae. The record is from RNAcentral.
UAAGAGGCCUACCAUGGUUUUAACGGGUAACGGGGAAUUAGGGUUCGAUUCCGGAGAGGGAGCCUGAGAAACGGCUACCACAUCCAAGGAAGGCAGCAGGCGCGCAAAUUACCCAAUCCCGACACGGGGAGGUAGUGACAAUAAAUAACAAUACAGGCGCUCUAUACGGGUCUUGUAAUUGGAAUGAGUACAAUUUAAAUCCCUUAACGAGGAACAAUUGGAGGGCAAGUCUGGUGCCAGCAGCCGCGGUAAUUCCAGCUCCAAUAGCGUAUAUUAAAGUUGUUGCAGUUAAAAAGCUCGUAGUUGAAUUUCGGGAUUCUACCGUUGGUCGGGCUAACAAGUCUGUACUGGUGUGUAGAAUUUCUACCUUCUGGGGAACUAUCAUGUUAUUAAUUUAGCGUGGUGGGAAACCAGGACCUUUACCUUGAAAAAAUUAGAGUGUUCAAAGCAGGCUUACGUCUGAAUACAUUAGCAUGGAAUAAUAGAAUAGGACGGUGGUCCUGUUUUGUUGGUUUCUGAAUCACCGUAAUGAUUAAUAGGGAUAGUUGGGGGCAUUAGUAUUCAAUUGUCAGAGGUGAAAUUCUUGGAUUUAUUGAAGACUAACUUCUGCGAAAGCAUUUGCCAAGGAUGUUUUCAUUAAUCAAGAACGAAAGUUAGGGGAUCGAAGACGAUCAGAUACCGUCGUAGUCUUAACCAUAAACUAUGCCGACUAGGGAUCGGAMGAUGUUAAAUUUUAUUGACUCGUUCGGCGCCUUACGGGAAACCAAAGUGUUUGGGUUC